RNAcentral lists this small nuclear RNA (157 nucleotides) under Oryctolagus cuniculus (rabbit). RNAcentral's name for it is "U1 spliceosomal RNA (ENSOCUG00000019735.1)". It matches the Rfam family "U1 spliceosomal RNA". Rfam says of the family: U1 is a small nuclear RNA (snRNA) component of the spliceosome (involved in pre-mRNA splicing). The record is from RNAcentral. Lineage: Eukaryota; Metazoa; Chordata; Mammalia; Lagomorpha; Leporidae.
GUACUCACCUGGAGGGGGCGCCACCAUGCUCACGCAGGCAGUUUUCCCAGCGCGAGACUGAUCCAUGGCACUGCGGAUGUGCUGAGCCCUGCGCUUUCCCCAAGUGUGGAGAAGGACUGGGUAAUUCGUGGUAGUGGGGAACGGCAUUGGUGCGUAA